Molecule: ribosomal RNA, 335 nt
Filed under: uncultured Glomeromycotina
Lineage: Eukaryota; Fungi; Glomeromycota
Description: eukaryotic LSU rRNA
Source: RNAcentral
AUCAGCCUUUGGGUGCGAUUCUGUGGAAGUUUGAGGAAGCUUUAACACCUUCAUGCUUUGCAUAUUCGUGCUCUUGGGUGUACUUUGCCCGUGUGGUUGGUUAACAUCAAUUUUGGUGGUCAUAAAAUGACUGGAGGAAUGUAGCUUAUUGAAGUGUUAUAGCCUUCGGUAGAUGUGAUGAUCGAGAUUGAGGAUUGCAACGGAUACCCUUCGGGGCUACCUGUCUGAUCUCUGAUCGUUGCUUUGGUGCUGAAAGCGUGCUUAUAGUUAUCAAAGUCGAUGGUCAAUAGGUUAGAAUGGGUUAAAUUCGUUAAGGAUGUUGACGUAAUGGCUUU